Molecule: small nuclear RNA, 207 nt
Filed under: Callithrix jacchus (white-tufted-ear marmoset)
Lineage: Eukaryota; Metazoa; Chordata; Mammalia; Primates; Cebidae
Description: U2 spliceosomal RNA (ENSCJAG00000077739.1)
Rfam family: U2 spliceosomal RNA
About the family: U2 is a small nuclear RNA (snRNA) component of the spliceosome (involved in pre-mRNA splicing).
Source: RNAcentral
AGCCCUUCUAGGUAUUUUGGCUAAUAUCAACCGUGGGAUCUGUUUUUAUCAGUUUAAUAUCUGGGACAUCCUGUAUCCCAGGACAAUAUAUUAAGUUGAGUUUGGGAGCAGGGAGAGGGUUGAAAAUAAUAUGCAAAUGCUUAAUGUUGACCAUUUGCUCCUUUAAUCAGAUGUUCUGCAUGAAACUGGUAACUGGGUAACAAUUUU